UGUAAGCGUAUACCAAAGUUGUUGCAGUUAAAACGCUCGUAGUCGGAAUUUGGCAGUUCCGGAAGUGUGCACGUCGUGUGCGCACUUUGCGGGGACUGCUUUUGUGGUCUUGCGUAGGAUGAGGCACUUUCAUUAGUGAACGUCCUCACGCAACCACUCUUUACUGUGAGAAAAUCAGAGUGCUCAGAGCAGGCAUUUGCCGUGAAUGUAUUAGCAUGGAAUAAUAGAAUAGGACUCGGUUCUAUUUUGUUGGUUUGUUGGGACUGAGUAAUGAUUAAGAGGGACAGUUGGGGGCAUUUGUAUUCCGGCGCUAGAGGUGAAAUUCUUAGAUUGCCGGAAGACAAACUGCUGCGAAAGCGUCUGCCAAGGAUGUUUUCAUUGA
This 382-nucleotide ribosomal RNA is filed under the name uncultured eukaryote. RNAcentral describes it as "partial 18S ribosomal RNA". It matches the Rfam family "Eukaryotic small subunit ribosomal RNA", at positions 592 to 976 of the family's 1831-position model. The record is from RNAcentral.